This 555-nucleotide ribosomal RNA is filed under the name Chaetoceros protuberans. RNAcentral's name for it is "partial large subunit ribosomal RNA". It matches the Rfam family "Eukaryotic large subunit ribosomal RNA", at positions 36 to 586 of the family's 3401-position model. The record is from RNAcentral. Lineage: Eukaryota; Bacillariophyta; Thalassiosirophyceae; Chaetocerotales; Chaetocerotaceae.
AAGCAUAUAACUAACCGAAGGAAAAGAAACUAACUAGGAUUCCCUCAGUAAGGGCGACUGAAGCGGGAAGAGAUCACCUUGUGAAUCUGUACAGGCCAGUCCUGUGCCGAGUUGUGGUGUGAAGUAGCAUUUUCUGUCAGCACUCUGGCUUAAGUUCCUUGGAAAAGGACAGCUGAGAGGGUGAGACUCCCGUUCUUGGCUAGAGUGUUUGACUUUAGCAGGUGCCUACUACGAGUCGAGUUGCUUGGGAUUGCAGCUCAAAGUGGGAUGUAAAUUCAUUCUAAAUCUAAAUAUUGGUAGGAGACCGAUAGCGUACAAGUACCGUGAGGGAAAGAUGCAAAGAACUUUGAAAAGAGAGUUAAAGAGUACCUGAAAUUGCUGAAAGGGAAGCGAAGGAAACCAGUGCUUGGCUUUACUAUUUUUCUCCUACUUCUUGAAGUUGGGGCGCUGUGGUAUUGCUAAUGCCAGCAUGGGCUAGGCUUGGGAUAAAUGGAUUGGUAGGAGGUGAGCACUUUUGUGCUGAAGACUAUCUUUCUUUAUUCUGGGCCUGGUCGA